ACUUAAAUUGAAGAGUUUGAUCAUGGCUCAGAUUGAACGCUGGCGGCAGGCCUAACACAUGCAAGUCGAACGGUAGCACAGAGGAGCUUGCUCCUUGGGUGACGAGUGGCGGACGGGUGAGUAAUGUCUGGGAAACUGCCCGAUGGAGGGGGGUAACUACUGGAAACGGUAGCUAAUACCGCAUAACGUCGCAAGACCAAAGAGGGGGACCUUCGGGCCUCUUGCCAUCGGAUGUGCCCAGAUGGGAUUAGCUAGUAGGUGGGGUAACGGCUCACCUAGGCGACGAUCCCUAGCUGGUCUGAGAGGAUGACCAGCCACACUGGAACUGAGACACGGUCCAGACUCCUACGGGAGGCAGCAGUGGGGAAUAUUGCACAAUGGGCGCAAGCCUGAUGCAGCCAUGCCGCGUGUAUGAAGAAGGCCUUCGGGUUGUAAAGUACUUUCAGCGAGGAGGAAGGCGUUGAGGUUAAUAACCGCAGCGAUUGACGUUACUCGCAGAAGAAGCACCGGCUAACUCCGUGCCAGCAGCCGCGGUAAUACGGAGGGUGCAAGCGUUAAUCGGAAUUACUGGGCGUAAAGCGCACGCAGGCGGUCUGUCAAGUCGGA
RNAcentral lists this ribosomal RNA (606 nucleotides) under Citrobacter sp. AATXR. RNAcentral's name for it is "bacterial SSU rRNA". It matches the Rfam family "Bacterial small subunit ribosomal RNA", at positions 1 to 592 of the family's 1533-position model. Lineage: Bacteria; Pseudomonadati; Pseudomonadota; Gammaproteobacteria; Enterobacterales; Enterobacteriaceae. The record is from RNAcentral.